CCGCCAGACUCCUACGGGAGGCAGCAGUGGGGAAUAUUGCACAAUGGGGGAAACCCUGAUGCAGCGACGCCGCGUGAAGGAAGAAGUAUUUCGGUAUGUAAACUUCUAUCAGCAGGGAAGAAAAUGACGGUACCUGACUAAGAAGCCCCGGCUAACUACGUGCCAGCAGCCGCGGUAAUACGUAGGGGGCAAGCGUUAUCCGGAUUUACUGGGUGUAAAGGGAGCGUAGGCGGUGCAGCAAGUCAGAAGUGAAAGCCCGGGGCUCAACUCCGGGACUGCUUUUGAAACUGUUGAACUAGAUUGCAGGAGAGGUAAGUGGAAUUCCUAGUGUAGCGGUGAAAUGCAUAGAUAUCGCGCAGAACUCCGAUUGCGAAGGCAGCAUGCCGGCUCCACACUGACGCUGAGGCACGAAAGCGUGGGUAUCGAACAGGAUUAGAUACCCGCGUAGG
This 449-nucleotide ribosomal RNA is filed under the name uncultured bacterium. RNAcentral describes it as "bacterial SSU rRNA". It matches the Rfam family "Bacterial small subunit ribosomal RNA", at positions 328 to 794 of the family's 1533-position model. The record is from RNAcentral.